RNAcentral lists this unclassified non-coding RNA (402 nucleotides) under soil metagenome. RNAcentral describes it as "partial contains 5.8S ribosomal RNA, internal transcribed spacer 2, and large subunit ribosomal RNA". The stretch from base 1 to 121 matches the Rfam family "5.8S ribosomal RNA", at positions 35 to 154 of the family's 154-position model. The record is from RNAcentral.
GAUGAAGAACGUAGCGAAAUGCGAUAAGUAAUGUGAAUUGCAGAAUUCAGUGAAUCAUCGAAUCUUUGAACGCACCUUGCGCCCUUUGGCUAUUCCGAAGGGCAUGCCUGUUUGAGUAUCAUGAACACCUCAACUCUCAUGGUUUGCCAUGAUGAGCUUGGACUCUGGGGGUCUUGCUGGCCUAUGGUCAGCUCCUCUCAAAUAAAUCAGCUUGCCAGUGUUUGGUGGCAUCACAGGUGUGAUAACUAUCUACGCUUGUGGUUUUCCAUCAGGUAACCUUCAGUGAUGGAGGUUCGCUGGAGCUCAUAAAUGUCCCUCCUCAGCGAGGACAGCUUUUUGAACAUUUGAUCUCAAAUCAGGUAGGACUACCCGCUGAACUUAAGCAUAUCAAUAAGCGGAGGA